GCAAGUAUGGCCCUCACGGGUCUAAUCCACCAUAAACACCUUUGUGAACCAGUCAGGGGGACUCGGCCGUGAAAGCCCAGGCGAUUAGCGGAAGGGCCCUCCUUUGCAAACCCGUUUAGAAGUCUUGAAAGUACUUUUGUAUAAUCUAGUA
RNAcentral lists this unclassified non-coding RNA (151 nucleotides) under soil metagenome. Its description in RNAcentral is "partial internal transcribed spacer 1". The record is from RNAcentral.